GGGGGUUAUAUAGUAGUAUAGUUAUGAGGGGUUAAUAUAUAGUAUAGUUAUGAUGGGUUAUAUAGUAGUAUAGUUAUGAGGGGUUAUAUAGUAGUAUAGUUAUGAGGGGUUAUAUAGUGGUAUAGUUAUGAGGGGUUAUAUAGUAGUAUAGUUAUGAUGGGUUAUAUAGUAGUAUAGUUAUGAGGGGUAUAUAGUAUAUAGUUAUGAGGGGUUAUAUAGUAGUAUAGUUAUGAGGGGCUAUAUAGUAGUAUAGUUAUGAUGAGUUAUAUAGUAGUAUAGUUAUGAUGGGUUAUAUAGUAGUAUAGUUAUGAUGGGUUAUAUAGUGCUAUAGUUAUGAGGGGUUAUAUAGUAGUAUAGUUAUGUAACUUUGGUUCUAUGACCGUCGAAUAACCUUGUCAGUCAGAACCAGUGCAAACCAUGUGAGAAGGGUCUAUGGAAAGAUGGUUUUAUGAGGGCGGUGUUUAUUGCAAAAUCUGUCUGCAAAGGUCUCAGUGUGCAUGCAAAAGUUAUCUGAUUGAUUCUCCCUGUCUCAGGCAGUUAUCCAUGGUUCGUAGAGUUACACAGUUACACAAAUAACUAGUGUUAUAUAUCUGCACGACUAUUUUUAAGGAAACAUUUGGUUUACA
This is a long non-coding RNA of Ictalurus punctatus (channel catfish), 626 nucleotides long. The record is from Ensembl. NCBI's taxonomy places the organism in Eukaryota, Metazoa, Chordata, Actinopteri, Siluriformes, Ictaluridae.